This 327-nucleotide ribosomal RNA is filed under the name uncultured eukaryote. RNAcentral's name for it is "partial 18S ribosomal RNA". It matches the Rfam family "Eukaryotic small subunit ribosomal RNA", at positions 1470 to 1796 of the family's 1831-position model. The record is from RNAcentral.
CCCUUAGAUGUUCUGGGCCGCACGCGCGCUACACUGACGAAUGCAACGAGCUUAUAACCUUGGCCGAAAGGUCUGGGUAAUCUCCAAAUUUCGUCGUGAUGGGGAUAGAUUAUUGCAAUUAUUAAUCUUCAACGAGGAAUGCCUAGUAAGCGCAAGUCAUCAGCUUGCGUUGAUUACGUCCCUGCCCUUUGUACACACCGCCCGUCGCUCCUACCGAUUGAAUGGUCCGGUGAAGCGUUCGGACCGUGGCCUUUGGACGGUUCGCCGUCUGUUGGCUGCGGGAAGUUCGUUAAACCUUAUCAUUUAGAGGAAGGAGAUGUCGUAACA